This 396-nucleotide ribosomal RNA is filed under the name uncultured Lactobacillus sp. RNAcentral describes it as "bacterial SSU rRNA". It matches the Rfam family "Bacterial small subunit ribosomal RNA", at positions 73 to 449 of the family's 1533-position model. The record is from RNAcentral. Lineage: Bacteria; Bacillati; Bacillota; Bacilli; Lactobacillales; Lactobacillaceae.
GGAGUGCUUGCACUCUGUGAAACAAGAUACAGGCUAGCGGCGGACGGGUGAGUAACACGUGGGUAACCUGCCCAAGAGAUCGGGAUAACACCUGGAAACAGAUGCUAAUACCGGAUAACAACAGAUGAUGCCUAUCAACUGUUUAAAAGAUGGUUCUGCUAUCACUCUUGGAUGGACCUGCGGUGCAUUAGCUAGUUGGUAGGGUAACGGCCUACCAAGGCGAUGAUGCAUAGCCGAGUUGAGAGACUGAUCGGCCACAUUGGGACUGAGACACGGCCCAAACUCCUACGGGAGGCAGCAGUAGGGAAUCUUCCACAAUGGACGCAAGUCUGAUGGAGCAACGCCGCGUGAGUGAAGAAGGGUUUCCGCUCGUAAAGCUCUGUUGUUGGUGAAGAA